Salvia splendens (bonfire salvia) is the source of this 1517-nucleotide long non-coding RNA. RefSeq lists it as uncharacterized. The transcript has 3 exons. Lineage: Eukaryota; Viridiplantae; Streptophyta; Magnoliopsida; Lamiales; Lamiaceae. The record is from RefSeq and is a predicted model, not a curated record.
GUCGCCCUUCUCUCUCUCUUUCUCCCUUCUUUUCCCAAAUUCAAUUUCAAACCCUAACUUCCUCCUUCCACCUCGGUGAAUCCACGGAGCCGCUGCUCUCGUCGCGUCUCCCGGAGGCGUCCGCCGUCGCCGACGUCGCCUCCUUCCUAACCCUUCGGAUUUUCUACUUCUCUUGUCCCCUUCUCGACUAAACCAUAUGGACCUCAAAUCUGGAAACCCUAGGUAGGUGAGGGACUUGUCGCCGUCUAAUCGGCACCGCACGGCUGCGGCUUCGGAGUCUUCCCGAUGCGGUGAAGUAGCCGCCUUGCUGGCUAUCCGGUUGGGCACUGCGGUUUGCUACCGCUGCCUCUGGCCCGUCGUGUCAGAUCUGUCUAGCGGCGGCGCUGCUCCAGGGUCUCGCCGCUUCGGCUUGUAUAGCCCAGAUCGCGUCUAGGAGCUAACUUUUCUCGUUCCCUUUUCACUACAUAAAGUAUUCGUAUGGUAUUUGGACAAUGACUAUGUUAAGUUAUAGUCUGAGGCGGAAAGAAUUGUUGGACUUGCGAAUACUGCUUGUGAUUCUAGUAUUUGGAAACUCCCUAAGAUGAGUUAUCAAUUGAGUUCCCCUCGGUUUAGCAAAGUCGCAUUUUUGAAAUCGAUGCUUACUUCAAUAUCUGCUAUUGUCAAGGCUAUGAAACGAUGGUAUCUUAGCAUGCUUGGGUUCAUACAUGAAGUUAAGAGCUAUAUGAACUAGAACUUAAGUCGUUGGAGGGGUUACCUGCUGUGAUUUGCUCUGGUUUUCCGUCUCUAAACUCAACCCCUUCUCCCUCUCUUUAGCUUGCUGCCUUACUAUUGAUUUGUGAUGAUGAGGGAGGAUGAGGCCGAGGGGUUACUUAUACUUGUAUUGCCUAACAGAAAGCCUGCAAAGGCUGGUAUUUUUGGGCAGGAAAGAGUCCUUGAUGGACGGUUCUUUGGCUGUUUCCUCUGCAGCAACUUACAGGGAAGUACUCGUGCAUUAAUUGGCACUUAUAACCUCUUUUGUUAUCAUUUGGCAGGGUAUCUCAGCCCUCCUUCUCGGCUGCACACCUACUGAAUUUCCUAUGACUUUUACAGGUGCAAUAGGAAAUGGAGACCGUUGCAUCUAAGGGGAUAAGCUUCUACAGCUGUUGGGGUGGAGAGGCCGGUUGUACGUGCCUCGAAGCAGCCUUCGGUACCAGCUGAGAGGCCAGGUAUCUGCAGGCUGUUGUAGGUCCUUGCUGCACUCAUUUUAGUAGGGUUUCGGUCCCCUCUAAGGAAUGUGCUGGAUACUCAUGGUUGUCACACUGAUGUUCCCAGCCUAUCGGGCCGUUGGAUGUUGGCCGAAAUCAGUGCUAAAGGAGGCCCGAAACUAGUUUUCUUUCCUCUAUAAUGUAAUAGAGUAGUUCUAUUGUAAUUCCAUUUUCUUCGUUUUCAUCAUCAAGCGAUUGUAAUUUAAGACUUAACUUGAGACUUGUAUAUUGUAUUCCAUUUACUUAAGAAAUAAACGUUAUACUUUCGCUUCA